The sequence is a small nucleolar RNA, 99 nucleotides long. It matches the Rfam family "A. fumigatus snoRNA Afu_335". The record is from Rfam.
GUAUGUGAUGAACCCAUGAUAGGGACAGCUUAUGCCGCAAGGCAAUGAUGAGAUGUUCUUGGGUCGAUUAUUUUAGUAGAUGCUUCGAUUUACCUGACA